AAAUUUAAUAUUUUAUUAAAAAUAAAUUUAAAUAUUACAUUAAUUAAAAUAAAAUACAAUAAAUAAAAAUAUUACUAAUAAUUAAAAAUUAGGUAAAAAUAAUUUAAAAGGUUUAAUAUUAUAAAAUAAAAAAAAUCAAAAAUCAACAUUAAAACAAAAAAUAUAGAAAAAAAUAAUAUAAGUAAAAACUACCCUACCAAUCCGCCGCCCCACCCAUUUCAUUUUCUUUUUUUCUUCUUCUCCUAGUCGUCCCCCUCUUUUCUUUUUCUUUUCUUCAUCUUCCCCACCAAACCCUUUCUUCCUCUGCUCUUUCCUUCUCUCUUCUAUUUCUGUAUAUAUAUUUUUUAUCCGUGUGUACUCUGCAUGUGCCUGCCAUUUCUUGCGAAAACGUCUGACAACAUGGAAAGCACUAAGCACGAGUGGGGGGAGCACUCCAGUGCGCGGUGCUGCGCAGCGUGCCGCAUCGAGGCGACACCCCCCUCCCCGUGCUAUGGAUGCUCCUAUGCCUUUAUUGUUGUAGUGAGUUUUUACCACAACAUCGAAAUUUUUACAACAGAGAAGAAAUC
Molecule: long non-coding RNA, 566 nt
Filed under: Salvia miltiorrhiza (redroot sage)
Lineage: Eukaryota; Viridiplantae; Streptophyta; Magnoliopsida; Lamiales; Lamiaceae
Description: long non-coding RNA (SMIL_LNC013433)
Source: RNAcentral